This 2845-nucleotide long non-coding RNA is filed under the name Sus scrofa (pig). RNAcentral describes it as "lncRNA (ENSSSCG00030019429.1)". Lineage: Eukaryota; Metazoa; Chordata; Mammalia; Artiodactyla; Suidae. The record is from RNAcentral.
CAUUUGAUACUUUAAGUUUCUAGUUUUCCUGCCCAAAUUUUCCUUCUUGUUUAACUCCUUCAAUGUAGUAAGCCCAACUAUUUUAAAGUUGGUGAGGACGGCCCUUUUAACUCUCUUAAUCUGAAUUUCCCAUGGAUCUGUUUCCCUUGUCUGUUUUCAUUUUCUCUCGGUUUUCAGUCAAAUCUUGUGUUUUCAUACACGUGGGUAUAUUUGACUGAGUGCUGGCCAUUGUUAAUGAAAACUGCACAGACAGUUGAGACUCUAGAUGACAUUCUCUUCUUUCCGAGACAAUCUGUUUUCUUCUCAUGGGCCACAAGGCCAGGAGUACAAGCAGUCCCAGAUCACUUAACACCAUCAGAAAAGUUUAGAUGAUCUGAAGGUGGCUUUCUGUCCCUAGGGGAGCAGUUCUAUUCCUAAUCCAUGCUUAUUCCUAGGGCAUAACCCUUCAGAGUUCCAGAAAACCUGGACCCUUCCUGCUGAUUGAGCUUCUUACCUCCAGUUUGUUCCCAGACCCCUCUGGGUCUAUAGCUCUGCUCAGCAUUUUAUUCUCCCAGCAGCUGAUCUUGGCAAUUGCCUUGGCAGGUACAUGCAAUGCUGGGCUUUUCUCCUUUGCUUUUUCUCCCAGGAUCUUAGCCUCACAAAUUCUCAUUGCUUGGAAAGCUCGCCAGGAUUUUAAACAGAUCAGUUUUCUAAAUUUUCUUAUUAUUUUUAAUCAACAGAGAAAGUAAUCUAGACUACCACUGCUGAAAAUAUAACCCUAGUCUGAUUAAAAUUUUUUUUCUUUGCCAUUUAUUCUGUUCUUAAUUAAAAAAAUUUUUGAUCAGGCUCUCUGUUUAACAAGGUUUCGUGUUAGAGUUACUAAUCUCAUCCAAAGCUUGAAUGCAAACACAGGUUUUUCUUUUCAGAUAAUGGCAAUGAUUUUGUCAUAAUUCUUGGACAAUCGUGUUGGUUCCAUUUACUCUAUUUCAUCCAAGAAUGUCUAUUAUAUUCAUAUACUGGACACUCCAUUUUCUACCAUCCGUACAUCAUUUUCUUGGUUAGCAUUUUCUUCCAUUUAUCCUUUUGGUCUCAUUUCUGAAGAUCUUCCCAUUUUCCCCCCCACUGUUUCAGUUCCCUACAAUCUGAGUUCUGCAUAGUUUGUCAUGGUAAAUUUUAAUAUGUACUAUUUGUAUUAUAAUUUCCUUGCAAAUGUUCCUAUGUCUAUUUUCAGCUCAUUUUAUGAUUCUCAUCUAAGCUAAUUCUCCCUUUGUGACUUUUCCCCUCUUCAUUCAUAGAGUUGACAUCUCUUUAACUUUUUGAGGCUAUUGAAUAAUCCUGAAAUAACCCAAAUCCUGCAAUAGAUCAUUUUCAAAUAUAUGUUCAUCCUUUGAGACUUCUAGAUGCUAUUAGGCAGUUUUUCUUUACGGUGGCUCAAUCUGCAUACCUGGAACUUCUACUUGAGGAAUCAUUUUAAAUUAUGUACAAAGGGAAUACUUUGAAUCGUGGAAUUUAUAAACUCCUAUGGUCACCAUCAGAAAAUUUAGAGCUGGAAGCUGAUAAAACAAGGAUAAAAUUGGAUGAUUACAUUGUAUUCUUAAAGUCUCAAAGAUUAAACCGACCUCCAAGCUGUCUUUUAAUUUCUUUAAAUUUUGUAAUACUCGGAACUACCUUAAUGGCAGCAGCACAUUUUAGUUUCUAUUACUUGUUCACCAGACAUUUAUUAAGUUCCUGCCGUAAUGAUGAAGGGAACACGACACAAAAAGACAUGUAUCCUAAUUUCAAAUACUAUUAGCAAAGAAAACAGGGAAAAAGUAUUACUGGAGAAAAGUAUAUUUGUGAAGAAAAAUAUAACCUAUUUCAAAGAGCUUUGAAGAAGGAGUUGGGAAUUAACUGACCUAAUUCAUUCAGAGAAACUAUGUGUACUGUCAAGUAAGUCAGUUGCUUUAUUUGAACCUAAUCCCAACUGUAAAAACACUAAUCGCUUCAGCUUCCAUGUUGCCUCAAUUUUAUGGGAGCAUUAAUGUGAAGCUACAUGAGGAUCUUGCAUGUGAUAUAAGAAAGUCCUUGUGUAACUUCAAGGUGGAUUAUCAGUGCUAUUAUUUUCACUAUAAUUAUUAUUCUCAUCUGUGCAUCUCUAGGUCAAUAGUCUAUUAACUUCAAAGGACUGGUGAGAAAAAUUCAUAGAGAAGAAUCCAUAAGGAUCGAUGUAUCUUCAGAGCAGUACCUGUGCACAGACACAUUAUCCUUAUGCUUCCUGGUGUUCCCUUGAAUGAGAAAAGCAAAAAACCAACUGAUACUUGCUAUUUAAUUUUUUCAUGAGUAAAAUUUCUAAAUUAAAGAAGUCUGUUAUUUCUUUGUUUCUAUUUCUUGCCUCAUUGUCUUUUUAAUGAUACAAUCUUUUUGCAUUUCUUUGAUUCUCCACUAUCCCCAUCAUUAGACAUUAUUUUCCCAUUUUAGCAAAUAUCAAUAUUCCAGGUUGCCAAUGAGAACGUAUAACAUAACUCAUGUUUUUGGGGUAUCCACUGGCCACAUGCAUGGUCAGAAACACACACAUCAGCACUGUAGAGAUGAUUCCUGCCCUUAAAAAAUUGAGAAGUUUCCUUCCUUAGUUUCUAUAUUGUCAACCAGUGGGUAGGUGGCAAUGAAAAUAGCUGUAACAACUGGUACAUAUCUUUUCCUAGCUUAGAUGACAUGACAGGAUAGUAAAAGAUCAUGUGCCUUGCAGUUUGCAUUUUUGGUUUUAUAGUAAUAGAGAUUAGGUGGAAAAUUUUCUUUUAGGUAGUUCUGAGUAUUAUAGUAAUGGAGCUUAGGUGACUCCUCUACCCUCUUGAAAAGAUACACAAAGAACUCUGCUCAUGAGCCACGA